CCCAUGUUCUGGAAUACAAGUAUUUUCCACUGCUACAGUUAUUCUUUGUGUGUGCAUGCGCACGCACCCAAGAAGACCAUCUGAGAGCAUUAGACACCAUAGAGCUGCAGUACAGUAGCAGGUUUUGUCAGAGUUGUACCAUGGAUCAAGACUUCCUUUUGGGGCCAAAUAAUAUCCUGUUGCAUGGAGAGACAGAAUGGAGAAUCAAUGGGUAGAUCACAUCCAAUGUGAUCAUGUGGUAACAAGACUGGGCCAGAACCCUGCUGCUGGGAAUGAAUGAGGUAUCUUGCUAUCUGCCAUCCAUGCUGGCUUCCAGCUGACCAUUCAAGGUUAACCUCCCUGACAGGUUCAGGGCACCUUUGCCUGCCCAGUGCCAUGGCACCAUCAUACCUCAUCCUUCUCCACAGUGGCAUCACUGAGCAGUCGUACAUCAUCAUGAACGUCGAAGUUGAAGAGUGGCCCUGUAGGAGAGAAGCAGUAAGCUCAAGGCCAUGCUAUUCUCCUUCAAUAUGUUGGAGCAAGUUACAGGGUGAACUAAGAUAGAAUUACUCACCACUUUUUCCUCGUGCCUUGGUAACGAUGAAGUCAUAGAAGCUGUGAUGCUAGGAGCAGAGGAUGAGAAAGACCAGCUUGAUAAUCCUUCUGGGGUCCUAUCACCCACUAUUCCCCAUACCUCUACCUGCAGGUAUCACUGCGUUCAGCAGCCCUGGAAGAGUGCACAGCAGUAUGGUGACUCUCCUAUGAAAGCACAGAGUGCAUGACCCAGGGUUGAAGGAACUCACAUGGGGGAUGAUUAAAUCCUCCUUGAUGUACAUGAGCUGUUCCACCCCUGCUGACCUACAGGAAAAAGAGGAGAGGACAACAACUAGAAGUCAUCAGAGUGGCCACAAGGGGCCAGGAAGUGCUGGCCACAGUGCUUUAAGCCUUAAAGUUUAAGGGAAGCUGUGUAGUUUAAUGAAUCUGGGACGGGAGUUCCAGUGUCCUCCACUUCUGGACCAUACCACCAAGGCAGGGCUCUCUCACCUAUGCUUUCUACAGCAGGAAGGUAAGAAAAAAGAGCACAGCUCUCCUUUUUGAGGAUUUCAGUGCCCAGCAUUCCGCCUUCCCAGCUGUGGAGCAGUCAGCAGGGUUGUCUGAUGCCCUGGCUGGGAAGUCAGCCUCCUCACAGAUGCACAGCACAGGCACACAUAGUGCAUCCUCUGCUCACCUGAGUUCACUGAAGUCUUUCCGCAAGAUCUCUAGUGCUUUCUGUAGGAACUGCUGCAUCGUGUUGCCUUUCUUCAU
Molecule: long non-coding RNA, 1284 nt
Organism: Mus musculus (house mouse)
Lineage: Eukaryota; Metazoa; Chordata; Mammalia; Rodentia; Muridae
Product: predicted gene, 39520
Exons: 4
Source: RefSeq, a predicted model, not a curated record